This 1326-nucleotide ribosomal RNA is filed under the name Agulla arizonica. RNAcentral's name for it is "16S ribosomal RNA". Lineage: Eukaryota; Metazoa; Arthropoda; Insecta; Raphidioptera; Raphidiidae. The record is from RNAcentral.
AAUUAGUUAAUUAUAAUUUUAUUUAUUUAAGUUUUUGUUUAUAAUAUAAAUAUUUUUAUUUAAUUUAGGAUUUAGUAUAUCUAAGAAAAAUUUUUUUUUAUUAUAGUUUAAUAGUAUUGUGAAAGAAUUUAUUUAGUUUUGUAUAAGAAAAUUUAUUUUAUUGUACCUUUUGUAUCAGGGUUUAUUAAUUUAAUUUUUAUAUUAAAAUAUCUCGAAUUUAAAAGAGUUAAUUUUAUAUUAAUUUAUUGUAGAAUAAAUAUAUUAAAUAUAAGGUUUGUAAUGAAAAGUUAUUCGAUUUUAAAUAUAUCUAGUUUUUUUAGAAUUAAGUUUAAUUUAUUUAAAUUUUAUAUUAUAUAUAUAUAUAUAUAUAUAUAUAUAUAUUAAUUAUUUUUUAAAAAAAAUUUAUGGGUAAGCUUUAGAUUUAGUUUAAAUAUAAAAAAUUUAUAAAUGUUAUAUAAUAAUAUAAUUAGAAGUUUUAAUUAAUUGAAGUUUUUUAUAAUUUAUUAAAAUAUUUAAUAAGAAAUUUAUUUUAUUUUAUAAAAAAAAUAUUAAAUUUUGUAUAAAAAAAAAUUUUUUUAUAAAAAAAAAAUUGUAAUAAUGAUAAAAUUAGUAUAUAAAAAAUAUUUAUAAAAUUAUAAUUUUAUUUUUAAAAUUUUAAAUAAGGAAUUCGGCAAAAUUAAUACUCGCCUGUUUAUCAAAAACAUGGUUUUUUGAUGAUAAUUUAAAAUUUAAUCUGCCCACUGAAAAUUUAAAUGGCCGCAGUAUUUUGACUGUGCAAAGGUAGCAUAAUCAUUUGUUUCUUAAUUAGGAACUGGUAUGAAUGAUUGGACGAGGUAUUUACUGUCUCAUUUAAAUAUUUUAAUAAAAUUUUAAUUUUUAGUUAAAAUGCUAAAAUUUUUUUAAAAGACGAGAAGACCCUAUAGAGUUUUAUUAAAAGUAAAAUAAUAGUUUUUAAGUUUAAAUAAUGUUUAUUUAAAGUUUUAAUUUUAUUGGGGUGAUAGAAAAAUUUAAUAAACUUUUUAUAAAAAUUUCAUUUAUUUAUGUAAUUUAUUUUUGAUCUUAAAUUUUUAAAUUAAAAGAUUAAAUUACCUUAGGGAUAACAGCGUUAUUAUUUUGGAGAGUUCAAAUUGAUAAAAUAGAUUGCGACCUCGAUGUUGAAUUAAGAAAAAUAUUUGGUGAAAAAGUUAAAUGAUUAGGUCUGUUCGACCUUUAAAUUCUUACAUGAUUUGAGUUCAAAUCGGCGUGAGCCAGAUUGGUUUCUAUCUUUAAUAAUUUAUUAUAUUUUAGUACGAAAGGACCAAAUAUAUUAAUUAAAUUUUAAUUUAG